UUCCUUAUAGCUCAGUUGGUUAGAGCAUGGUGCUGAUAACACCGAGGUCACAGGUUUGAUUCCCGCAAGGGACA
Molecule: non-coding RNA, 74 nt
Organism: Podarcis lilfordi (Lilford's wall lizard)
Lineage: Eukaryota; Metazoa; Chordata; Lepidosauria; Squamata; Lacertidae
Source: the annotation of a GenBank genome assembly